RNAcentral lists this ribosomal RNA (763 nucleotides) under uncultured bacterium. Its description in RNAcentral is "bacterial SSU rRNA". It matches the Rfam family "Bacterial small subunit ribosomal RNA", at positions 294 to 1081 of the family's 1533-position model. The record is from RNAcentral.
GAGAGGAUGAUCAGCCAGACUGGAACUGAGGCACGGUCCAGACUCCUACGGGAGGCAGCAGUGAGGAAUCUUCCACAAUGGGCGAAAGCCUGAUGGAGCAACGCCGCGUGCAGGAUGAAGGCCCUCGGGUCGUAAACUGCUUUUAUGAGUGAAGAAUAUGACGGUAACUCAUGAAUAAGGAUCGGCUAACUCCGUGCCAGCAGCCGCAGUCAUACGGAGGAUCCAAGCGUUAUCCGGAAUUACUGGGCGUAAAGAGUUGCGUAGGUGGCAUAGUAAGUCUGUAGUGAAAGCGUGGGGCUCAACCCCAUACACAUUAUGGAAACUGCUAAGCUAGAGGAUGAGAGAGGUUAUUGGAAUUCCCAGUGUAGGAGUGAAAUCCGUAGAUAUUGGGAGGAACACCGAUGGCGUAGGCAGAUAACUGGCUCAUUCCUGACACUAAGGCACGAAAGCGUGGGGAGCAAACGGGAUUAGAUACCCCGGUAGUCCACGCCGUAAACUAUGGAUGCUAGCUGUUAGAGGUAUCGACCCCUCUAGUAGCGAAGCUAACGCGUUAAGCAUCCCGCCUGUGGAGUACGGUCGCAAGACUAAAACAUAAAGGAAUUGACGGGGACCCGCACAAGCGGUGGAGCGUGUUGUUUAAUUCGAUGGUAAGCGAAGAACCUUACCCAGGCUUGACAUCCUUGGAAUUUCUCCGAAAGGAGAGAGUGCCUUUGGAACAGGUGUUGCAUGGCCGUCGUCAGCUCGUGUCGUGAGAUGUUUGGUU